RNAcentral lists this ribosomal RNA (491 nucleotides) under uncultured bacterium. RNAcentral describes it as "partial 16S ribosomal RNA". It matches the Rfam family "Bacterial small subunit ribosomal RNA", at positions 29 to 507 of the family's 1533-position model. The record is from RNAcentral.
AGUGAACGCUGGCGGUAGGCCUAACACAUGCAAGUCGAACGGCAGCACAGUAAGAGCUUGCUCUUACGGGUGGCGAGUGGCGGACGGGUGAGGAAUACAUCGGAAUCUACUUUUUCGUGGGGAUAACGUAGGGAAACUUACGCUAAUACCGCAUACGACCUACGGGUGAAAGCAGUGGAUCUUCGGACCUUGCGCGAUUGAAUGAGCCGAUGUCGGAUUAGCUAGUUGGCGGGGUAAAGGCCCACCAAGGCGACGAUCCGUAGCUGGUGUGAGAGGAUGAUCAGCCACCCUGGAACUGAGACACGCUCCAGACUCCUGCGGGAGGCAGCAGUGGGGAAUAGUGGACAAUGGGCGCAAGCCUGAUACAAUCAUACCGAGUGGGUGAAGAAGGCCUUCGGGUUGUAAAGCCCUUUUGUUGGGAAAGAAAAGCAGCAGGUUAAUACCCCGCUGUUCUGACGGUACCCAAAGAAUAAGCACCGGCUAACUUCGUG